RNAcentral lists this ribosomal RNA (450 nucleotides) under uncultured bacterium. RNAcentral's name for it is "bacterial SSU rRNA". It matches the Rfam family "Bacterial small subunit ribosomal RNA", at positions 354 to 796 of the family's 1533-position model. The record is from RNAcentral.
GUGGGGAAUAUUGGACAAUGGGCGAAAGCCUGAUCCAGCCAUGCCGCGUGUGUGAAGAAGGUCUUCGGAUUGUAAAGCACUUUAAGUUGGGAGGAAGGGCAGUAAGUUAAUACCUUGCUGUUUUGACGUUACCGACAGAAUAAGCACCGGCUAACUUCGUGCCAGCAGCCGCGGUAAUACGAAGGGUGCAAGCGUUAAUCGGAAUUACUGGGCGUAAAGCGCGCGUAGGUGGUUUUGUAAGUUGGAGGUGAAAUCCCCGGGCUCAACCUGGGAACUGCCUACAAAACUGCAUGACUAGAGUACGGUAGAGGGUAGUGGAAUUUCCUGUGUAGCGGUGAAAUGCGUAGAUAUAGGAAGGAACACCAGUGGCGAAGGCGACUACCUGGACUGAUACUGACACUGAGGUGCGAAAGCGUGGGGAGCAAACAGGAUUAGAUACCCCGGUAGUCC